CGACCCCUAAGGUGAGGCCGAAAGGCGUAAUCGAUGGGAAACGGGUUAAUAUUCCCGUACUUCUGACUAUUGCGAUGGGGGGACGGAGAAGGCUAGGUGGGCCAGGCGACGGUUGUCCUGGUUCAAGUGCGUAGGCUUGAGAGUUAGGUAAAUCCGGCUCUCUCUAAGGCUGAGACACGACGUCGAGCUACUACGGUAGUGAAGUCAUUGAUGCCAUG
Molecule: ribosomal RNA, 218 nt
Filed under: Vibrio cholerae
Lineage: Bacteria; Pseudomonadati; Pseudomonadota; Gammaproteobacteria; Vibrionales; Vibrionaceae
Description: partial 23S ribosomal RNA
Rfam family: Bacterial large subunit ribosomal RNA
Source: RNAcentral